Molecule: ribosomal RNA, 301 nt
Filed under: uncultured bacterium
Lineage: Bacteria
Description: partial 16S ribosomal RNA
Rfam family: Bacterial small subunit ribosomal RNA
Source: RNAcentral
CAGCAGCCGCGGGAAUACGUAGGGUGCAAGCGUUAUCCGGAAUUAUUGGGCGUAAAGAGCUCGUAGGCGGUUUGUCGCGUCUGCUGUGAAAACUGGAGGCUCAACCUCCAGCCUGCAGUGGGUACGGGCAGACUAGAGUGCGGUAGGGGAGAUUGGAAUUCCUGGUGUAGCGGUGGAAUGCGCAGAUAUCAGGAGGAACACCGAUGGCGAAGGCAGAUCUCUGGGCCGUAACUGACGCUGAGGAGCGAAAGCGUGGGGAGCGAACAGGAUUAGAUACCCCUGUAGUCCCUGUCUCUUAUAC